Long non-coding RNA from Hippocampus zosterae (dwarf seahorse), 962 nucleotides. RefSeq lists it as uncharacterized. NCBI's taxonomy places the organism in Eukaryota, Metazoa, Chordata, Actinopteri, Syngnathiformes, Syngnathidae. The transcript is spliced from 3 exons. The record is from RefSeq and is a predicted model, not a curated record.
UUAAAACAAUAAUCACAACACAUAACAUAAAACACGGACAGUCGUGCAAUCCUAACCACUUUUCCGUCACACGCUUUGUGGAGAAAAGGAAACAACUAACUAAAAAGGAUUGUUUUUUUUUCAGUAUAAAAGCGUCCUCGAAACAAAACAACAAAGGAGGUGUUUGUGUGGAAGAGAAGAUGACGCUUCGGUCACGUAAUCGAAAGCAGCACCCGUUAAACGAACGUCAGCCUGCGCAAACAUGGCGUUUCGAGUUCAUCUGAUGAAGAUGAACAUGCUCCACGCCAGGGACCAUCGCUUGGCAGAGCAUUUUGUGCCUCCCGUGGGGCACAUGGCCCACAAAUCAUCUCCCCGGCGACUUCCAGCGAUGACGGCAAAGAGGCUGCAUUGCUUCGCAUGGCCGACGCCGGGCACACGUCAGCAAUUCGCCGGGCACACGUCAGCAAUUCGCUGGAAUCGUUUCGUAAUGACGACGGCGAAAACGAUGAAUUGGAGAGCGAUUUGGAUCCCUAUCUGUCGGACGAAUACGUGCCUUCGGACAUAACGGAAAGAAGCUGAGAGUUCUCGCCAGAGCCUCUGGAACGAGGCGAUUGUCCAAGCAGAAGCCAAAAGGUCAUGCAUCUGGACGUGGUGGGAUGAAUCGAUGUGGUGACAAACUGGAUGGAAGCCAAAAACCAUCCUUGCCACAGCUGCACGUUCAUUGUUCAAUUUGCACUUUUGUUCACAGUUCAAUAGUUUUGUUGUGUGCAAAUAAAUUAUUUUGCUUCAAAAACAUUAUUUGUAAUGUUCUUUUGUAGGAGGAACACAUUAUUGAGGUAUUUGAGCUGUCACAAAAGCAAAAAAUAGUGUAAAACCUGAAAUGAUGCUUGAAAUGCAUGCUUUUACAAAAAGCUAAUUUUCUCUGGAUUUCUGCAGAAAAUCGGCCUUUUCCAUAAAACUUAGUAGUUUUCUAAUGCUGAUUG